This 488-nucleotide ribosomal RNA is filed under the name uncultured bacterium. RNAcentral describes it as "bacterial SSU rRNA". It matches the Rfam family "Bacterial small subunit ribosomal RNA", at positions 30 to 509 of the family's 1533-position model. The record is from RNAcentral.
AUUGAACGCUGGCGGCAUGCCUUACACAUGCAAGUCGAACGGCAGCACGGGUGCUUGCACCUGGUGGCGAGUGGCGAACGGGUGAGUAAUAUAUCGGAACAUACCCUAGAGUGGGGGAUAACGUAGCGAAAGUUACGCUAAUACCGCAUACGAACUAAGGUUGAAAGUGGGGGAUCACAAGACCUCAUGCUCAUGGAGUGGCCGAUAUCUGAUUAGCUAGUUGGUGAGGUAAAGGCUCACCAAGGCGACGAUCAGUAGCUGGUUUGAGAGAACGACCAGCCACACUGGAACUGAGACACGGUCCAGACUCCUACGGGAGGCAGCAGUGGGGAAUUUUGGACAAUGGGGGCAACCCUGAUCCAGCAAUGCCGCGUGAGUGAAGAAGGCCCUCGGGUUGUAAAGCUCUUUUGUCAGGGAAGAAACGGUCUACUCUAAUACAGUGGGCUAAUGACGGUACCUGAAGAAUAAGCACCGGCUAACUACGUGCC